UGAACUGCUCCUGAUGUUACGGCGGACGGGUGAGUACCGUGGGUACCUGCCUGUAAGACUGGGAUACUCCGGGAAACCGGGGCUAAUACCGGAUGCUUGUUUGAACCGCAUGGUUCAAACAUAAAAGGUGGCUUCGGCUACCACUUACAGAUGGACCCGCGGCGCAUUAGCUAGUUGGUGAGGUAACGGCUCACCAAGGCAACGAUGCGUAGCCGACCUGAGAGGGUGAUCGGCCACACUGGGACUGAGACACGGCCCAGACUCCUACGGGAGGCAGCAGUAGGGAAUCUUCCGCAAUGGACGAAAGUCUGACGGAGCAACGCCGCGUGAGUGAUGAAGGUUUUCGGAUCGUAAAGCUCUGUUGUUAGGGAAGAACAAGUACCGUUCGAAUAGGCGGUACCUUGGCCGGUACCUAACCAGAAAGCCCCGGCUAACUACGUGCCACACCGCGGUAAAUACGUAGGUGGCAAGCGUGUCCGAUUUUUUGGGGGGGCAAAG
This 498-nucleotide ribosomal RNA is filed under the name Bacillus subtilis. RNAcentral's name for it is "bacterial SSU rRNA". It matches the Rfam family "Bacterial small subunit ribosomal RNA", at positions 79 to 565 of the family's 1533-position model. The record is from RNAcentral. Lineage: Bacteria; Bacillati; Bacillota; Bacilli; Caryophanales; Bacillaceae.